This 502-nucleotide ribosomal RNA is filed under the name uncultured bacterium. Its description in RNAcentral is "bacterial SSU rRNA". It matches the Rfam family "Bacterial small subunit ribosomal RNA", at positions 28 to 517 of the family's 1533-position model. The record is from RNAcentral.
GAUGAACGCUAGCUACAGGCUUAACACAUGCAAGUCGAGGGGAAACGAUAGAGAAAGCUUGCUUUUUCUAGGCGUCGACCGGCGCACGGGUGAGUAACGCGUAUCCAACCUGCCCAUCACUUGGGGAUAACCUUGCGAAAGUAAGACUAAUACCCAAUGACGUCUCUAGAAGACAUCUGAAGGAGAUUAAAGAUUUAUCGGUGAUGGAUGGGGAUGCGUCUGAUUAGCUUGUUGGCGGGGUAACGGCCCACCAAGGCGACGAUCAGUAGGGGUUCUGAGAGGAAGGCCCCCCACAUUGGAACUGAGACACGGUCCAAACUCCUACGGGAGGCAGCAGUGAGGAAUAUUGGUCAAUGGACGAGAGUCUGAACCAGCCAAGUAGCGUGCAGGAUGACGGCCCUAUGGGUUGUAAACUGCUUUUAUAAGGGAAUAAAGUGAGUCUCGUGAGACUUUUUGCAUGUACCUUAUGAAUAAGGACCGGCUAAUUCCGUGCCAGCAGCCG